CAGGUAGUUGGUGAGGUAACGGCUCACCAAGCCGACGACGGGUAGCCGGCCUGAGAGGGUGACCGGCCACACUGGGACUGAGACACGGCCCAGACUCCUACGGGAGGCAGCAGUGGGGAAUAUUGCACAAUGGGCGCAAGCCUGAUGCAGCAACGCCGCGUGAGGGACGACGGCCUUCGGGUUGUAAACCUCUUUUAGUAGGGAAGAAGCGAAAGUGACGGUACCUGCAGAAAAAGCACCGGCUAACUACGUGCCAGCAGCCGCGGUAAUACGUAGGGUGCAAGCGUUGUCCGGAAUUAUUGGGCGUAAAGAGCUCGUAGGCGGUUUGUCGCGUCUGCUGUGAAAUCCCGAGGCUCAACCUCGGGCCUGCAGUGGGUACGGGCAAACUAGAGUGCGGUAGGGGAGAUUGGAAUUCCUGGUGUAGCGGUGGAAUGCGCAGAUAUCAGGAGGAACACCGAUGGCGAAGGCAGAUCUCUGGGCCGUAACUGACGCUGAGGAGCGAAAGCGUGGGGAGCGAACAGGAUUAGAUACCCUGGUAGUCCACGCCGUAACGUUGGGAACUAAAUGUGGG
This 571-nucleotide ribosomal RNA is filed under the name Leifsonia sp. A5AGI. RNAcentral describes it as "bacterial SSU rRNA". It matches the Rfam family "Bacterial small subunit ribosomal RNA", at positions 242 to 826 of the family's 1533-position model. The record is from RNAcentral. Lineage: Bacteria; Bacillati; Actinomycetota; Actinomycetes; Micrococcales; Microbacteriaceae.